CUCUGAGCCCAAGCCAAGCCAUCGCAUCCCCUGUGACUUGCACGUAUAUGCCCAGAUGGCCUGAAGUAACUGAAGAAUCACAAAAGAAGUGAAUAUGCCCUGCCCCACCUUAAGUGAUGACAUUCCACCACAAAAGAAGUGUAAAUGGCCGGUCCUUGCCUUAACUGAUGACAUUACCUUGUGAAAGUCCUUUUCCUGGCUCAUCCUGGCUCAAAAAGCACCCCCACUGAGAACCUUGCGACCCCCACUCCUGCCCGCCAGAGAACAAACCCCCUUUGACUGUAAUUUUCCUUUACCUACCCAAAUCCUAUAAAACGGCCCCAUCCUUAUCUCCCUUCGCUGGCUCUCUUUUCGGACUCAGCCGGCCUGCACCCAGGUGAAAUAAGCAGCCAUGUUGCUCACACAAAGCCUGUUUGGUGGUCUCUUCACACGGACGCGCAUGAAAUUUGGUGCCGUGACUCGGAUAGGGGGACCUCCCUUGGGAGAUCAAUCCCCCGUCCUCCUGCUCUUUGCUCCAUAAGAAAGAUCCACCUACGACCUCACGUCCUCAGACCGACCAGCCCAAGAAACAUCUCACCAAUUUCAAAUCCGGUUCCAAAGCUUAUGAAUCUACUGUAGCUGAUCAAGAUAUACUUCAGGUCUCAGCUGAGAACUCACAUCCUUCUGAAGCUUAUAAGACUUGAGCAAAAUCCAACUUGAAUCAAUUAGUGAAACAGAAUGAAUCCACCUUUUCACCACUUCAAUCAAAUGCCAGUUAGUAGCAAUUAGUACUCACUGAAGAUGAUAUACGAUCCUGAAAAUUCUAAUCAGGGAAAAAAAAUCCUGGGGAGAAAUUCAAGCUAGCUGAAGAAAUUUGCAUAAGUAAUGGGGAACCAAAUGUUAAUCACCAAGACAAUGGGGAAAAUGUCUCCAGGGCAUUUCAGAGAUCCUAGAGGCAGCUUUUCCCAUCACAGACCUGGAGGCCUAAGAGGGAAAAAGUGGUUUCUUGGGUUAACCUUGGGAUGUGGCAUCCUGCAUCCCAGUCACUCCAGCUCCAGCCACGGAUACAAGGGCCAAGGUACAGCUCAGCCCAUUGCUUCAAAGGGUGGAAGCCCUAAACGUUGACAGCUUCCAUGUGGUGUUGAGCCUGCGAAUGCACAGAAGACAAGAGUUGAGGUUUGAGUACCUCCACCUAGAUUUCAGAGGAUAUAUGGAAAUACCCGGAUGUCUAGGCAGAAGUGUGCUGCAGGGGCAGAGCCCUCAUGGAGAACCUUUGCUAAGGCAGUGUGGAAGGGAAAUGUGUGGGUUGGAUACCCCACAGAGAGUCCCCACUGGGGCACUGCCUAAUGGAGCUGUGAGAAGAGAUCCAAUAUCCUCCAGACCCCAGAAUGGUAGAUCCACCUACAGCUUGCACCAUGCACCUGGAAAAGCCACAGACACUCAACACCAGCCCAUAAAAGCAGCCAGGAGGGGGACUGUACGCUGCAGAGCCACAGGAUGGAGCUGUCCACAACUGUGGGAGCCCACUCCUUGCAUCAGCAUGCCCUGGAUGUGAGACAUGGAGUCAAAGGAGAUUUUGGACCUUUAAAAUUUAAUGACUGCCCAGCAGGGUUUCAGACUUGCAUGGGGCCUGUUGCCCCUUUGUUUUGGCCAGUUUCUUCCAUUUUGAAUGGGAACAUUUACCCAAUGACUCUACCCUCACUGUGUCUUGGAAGUAACUAACACCUGCUUAUUGAUUUUACAGGCUCAUAGGUGGAAGGGACUUGUCUUUUCUCAGGUGAAACUUUGGACUUGGACUUUUGAGUUAAUGCUGGAUGAGAUAAAACUUUGGGGGCUUUUGGGAAGGCAAUGACUGGUUUUGAAAUGUCAAGACAUGAGAUUUGGGAGGUGCCAGGGGUGGAAUGAUAUGAUUUGGCUCUGUGCCCCCACCCAAAUCUCACUUCAAAUUUUAAUCCCCAUGUGAUGUGAGAGGGACCAGGUGAGAGGUGAUUGGACCAUGGGGGUGGUUUUCCCCAUGCUGUUCUCAUGAUAGUGGGGAGUUCUCAUGCGAUCCGAUGGUUUAAAAGUGAAAGUUUCCCCUGUGCUCUUUCUCUU
This is a long non-coding RNA of Pan troglodytes (chimpanzee), 2073 nucleotides long. RefSeq lists it as uncharacterized. The transcript has 4 exons. The record is from RefSeq and is a predicted model, not a curated record. Lineage: Eukaryota; Metazoa; Chordata; Mammalia; Primates; Hominidae.